Molecule: ribosomal RNA, 254 nt
Filed under: uncultured bacterium
Lineage: Bacteria
Description: partial 16S ribosomal RNA
Rfam family: Bacterial small subunit ribosomal RNA
Source: RNAcentral
GACGAACCGUGCGAACGUUAUUCGGAAUCACUGGGCUUAAAGCGCGUGUAGGCGGGCCGCCACGUCGGGCGCUGAAAUCCCCCGGCUCAACCGGGGAACGGGCACCGAUACGAGCGGCCUGGAGGGGAGUAGGGGGACCUGGAACUUCCGGUGGAGCGGUGAAAUGCGUUGAGAUCGGAAGGAACGCCCGUGGCGAAAGCGAGGUCCUGGGCUCCUGCUGACGCUGAGACGCGAAAGCCAGGGGAGCGAACGGG